Molecule: ribosomal RNA, 492 nt
Filed under: uncultured bacterium
Lineage: Bacteria
Description: partial 16S ribosomal RNA
Rfam family: Bacterial small subunit ribosomal RNA
Source: RNAcentral
AGUGAACGCUGGCGGUAGGCCUAACACAUGCAAGUCGAACGGCAGCACAGUAAGAGCUUGCUCUUACGGGUGGCGAGUGGCGGACGGGUGAGGAAUACAGCGGAAUCUACUUUUUCGUGGGGGAUAACGUAGGGAAACUUACGCUAAUACCGCAUACGACCUACGGGUGAAAGCAGGGGAUCUUCGGACCUUGCGCGAUUGAAUGAGCCGAUGUCGGAUUAGCUAGUUGGCGGGGUAAAGGCCCACCAAGGCGACGAUCCGUAGCUGGUCUGAGAGGAUGAUCAGCCACACUGGAAGUGAGACACGGUACAGACUCCUACGGGAGGCAGCAGUGGGGAAUAUUGGACAAUGGGCGCAAGCCUGAUCCAGCCAUACCGCGUGGGUGAAGAAGGCCUUCGGGUUGUAAAGCCCUUUUGUUGGGAAAGAAAAGCAGCAGGUUAAUACCACGCUGUUCUGACGGUACCCAAAGAAUAAGCACCGGCUAACUUCGUG